CCUACGGGUGGCAGCAGUGGGGAAUAUUGCGCAAUGGAGGCAACUCUGACCCAGCAACGCCGCGUGAAUGAUGAAGGUCUUCGGAUCGUAAAGCUCUGUGAUCAGGGAUGAACACAAUGACGUAACCCCAAUAGCCAGUCACUGCUAACUACGUGCCGGCAGCCGAGGUAAUACGUAGGGGGCAAGCGUUAUCCGGAAUGACGGGGCGUAAAGGGAGUGUAGGUGGUUUAGUAAGUUGGCAGUGUAAUUCCGGGGCUCAACCUCGGCGCUACCGCCUAAACUAUUAGACUAGAGUGCAGGAGGGGUAAGUGGAAUUCCUAGUGUAGCGGUGGAAUGCGUAGAUAUUAGGAGGAACAUCAGUGGCGAAGGCGACUUACUGGACUGUAACUGACACUGAGGCACGAAAGCGUGGGGAGCAAACAGGAUUAGAUACCCCAGUAGUC
This 443-nucleotide ribosomal RNA is filed under the name uncultured bacterium. RNAcentral describes it as "partial 16S ribosomal RNA". It matches the Rfam family "Bacterial small subunit ribosomal RNA", at positions 338 to 795 of the family's 1533-position model. The record is from RNAcentral.